Molecule: ribosomal RNA, 468 nt
Filed under: uncultured bacterium
Lineage: Bacteria
Description: partial 16S ribosomal RNA
Rfam family: Bacterial small subunit ribosomal RNA
Source: RNAcentral
GACGAACGCUGGCGGCGUGCUUAACACAUGCAAGUCGAACGGAAAGGCCCUGCUUUUGUGGGGUGCUCGAGUGGCGAACGGGUGAGUAACACGUGAGUAACCUGCCCUUGACUUUGGGAUAACUUCAGGAAACUGGGGCUAAUACCGGAUAGGAGCUCCUGCUGCAUGGUGGGGGUUGGAAAGUUUCGGCGGUUGGGGAUGGACUCGCGGCUUAUCAGCUUGUUGGUGGGGUAGUGGCUUACCAAGGCUUUGACGGGUAGCCGGCCUGAGAGGGUGACCGGCCACAUUGGGACUGAGAUACGGCGCAGACUCCUACGAGAGGCAGCAGUGGGGAAUAGUGCACAAUGGGCGGAAGCCGUAUGCAGCAACGCCGCGUGCGGGAUGACGGCCUUCGGGUUGUAAACCGCUUUCGCCUGUGACGAAGCGUGAGUGACGGUAAUGGAUAAAGAAGCACCGGCUAACUACGUG